RNAcentral lists this long non-coding RNA (404 nucleotides) under Capsella rubella. Its description in RNAcentral is "long non-coding RNA (CRUB_LNC002100)". Lineage: Eukaryota; Viridiplantae; Streptophyta; Magnoliopsida; Brassicales; Brassicaceae. The record is from RNAcentral.
AGAUUUUGUUUUUAAUAAUAUUUAAUAAUUUUUUAAUAUAUUUUUUUUUUUUUUUGCUCGUGGCAGCUGCCCCCACCAUCUUAGCUGUGGGUCCGCCCCUGGUCCCCCGCUUUCUAAGGCCAAACACUUUCUUCUUUUCACCCUAACACACAUUUACACGCAUGCAUACAUUUUUACACCCUAUGACGUAACCAAAUCGUUUCACCAUAUAUAUAUCCAAUUUACUCAAAAAUAUAAAAAAAAUAGAAAAACAGAUUUUGUCAUGUCAGAGUUAACAGCUAGUCUUGAAACUUGAAUAUUCCGAUAUCAUGUAAACAGUAAGAUAGUUCUUCUAUUAUAAUAUUAACAGAAACACAUAGUUCUACUACAAUAUCUUCUAAAGUUAGGUUUAACAAAAAAAAAAA